UGGCUCAGUUGUUAAGAGCACUGGCUGCUCUUCCAGAGGUCCUGGGUUCAAUUCCCAG
This 58-nucleotide transfer RNA is filed under the name Mesocricetus auratus (golden hamster). It matches the Rfam family "tRNA", at positions 8 to 63 of the family's 71-position model. From Rfam's summary of the family: Transfer RNA (tRNA) molecules are approximately 80 nucleotides in length. Lineage: Eukaryota; Metazoa; Chordata; Mammalia; Rodentia; Cricetidae. The record is from Rfam by way of RNAcentral.